RNAcentral lists this transfer RNA (85 nucleotides) under Felis catus (domestic cat). It matches the Rfam family "tRNA". From Rfam's summary of the family: Transfer RNA (tRNA) molecules are approximately 80 nucleotides in length. Their secondary structure includes four short double-helical elements and three loops (D, anti-codon, and T loops). The record is from Rfam by way of RNAcentral. RNAcentral also lists the same sequence under 2 other names. Lineage: Eukaryota; Metazoa; Chordata; Mammalia; Carnivora; Felidae.
GCUUGGGUGGCUCAGUUGGUUGAGCAUCCGACUUCGGCUCAGGUCAUGAUCUCACAGUUUGUGGGUUCGAGCCCCACGUUGGGCU